Spinacia oleracea (spinach) is the source of this 410-nucleotide long non-coding RNA. RefSeq lists it as uncharacterized. The record is from RefSeq and is a predicted model, not a curated record. The transcript is spliced from 2 exons. Lineage: Eukaryota; Viridiplantae; Streptophyta; Magnoliopsida; Caryophyllales; Amaranthaceae.
ACAUUACUCAUUUACUCUUACUUAUAUUAGGGUUUAUUUCACUCAACCCUCUCCUCUCAAAUAGCAUCCAACCCCCACUCCAUAUAUCUUCUCUCCUCUUAAACGGCGUCGGUCAUCAACUCUCCUCUCAAACUGCAGCACUUGUGUUCUUCUCUCUUCCGCCUACAACAUCCUUCAAGGUAUGAAAGACUUGUUUCGAAGCAACCAACAAUUAUAAUGGAGGAGACGCUUGAAAUCCUUGAGGUUUCUCAUCUCACAACUGAAGACAUAGUGAAAUAACCUUGAAGAAUUGAAAUGGUGUUGACUCAAUGGUUUAACGUGUUUAAGUAUUUGUAAACCUAUGUUUCCACUCCUUAACUAUUUUUGUUAAGAUUUGUUUGGACUUUUGGUGAAAAUGUUUGUUAAAACUA